RNAcentral lists this long non-coding RNA (676 nucleotides) under Coccomyxa subellipsoidea. RNAcentral describes it as "long non-coding RNA (CSUB_LNC000401)". The record is from RNAcentral. Lineage: Eukaryota; Viridiplantae; Chlorophyta; Trebouxiophyceae; Coccomyxaceae.
CAUGUGAAUCGGGAUAAUUAAAACUUUCAGCAGUUGUGCCCAGACCAAACACACCAUAUGUGAGCGUAUCUCAUUCUCAAUUGUGCGUUUCUUGCUAAAUAUCCUCUGUUCUGGUUCCGGGACGGCUUGGACUCCUUGUCUGAAAACCACCAAAAGACCUAGGGUGUCGCUCACGACGUAGUACAAUGGAAGUUGUGCGGGAAAAACUACCAACCACAAAUGAGAAUGAAGAUCAGAACUCGAUCGUGGAAGAUGCGCGCUUGCAUCCUGAGGUAAGGGAUGCCUGGCAGUUCCCCCCUGAUCUGCCUGAAAUCAAGCUUCCUGCCUGAUCGAUCAAGCUGUAACCUAUGCGUUGCAUGUUGAUAAGUUCAUCUUGUCAUUCGGUGAAUAACAAUCAAGAUGGGGCUUCUGUUGCAGACAACAGGAAAGAGGCUGGGCCAGAUUGUCCGAUUUGAGUUAGGAGCACCAGAGAGUCCGGGUGCAGCACCUGCAAAUUUAGAUCACAUAACCGAAGAGGACGAAAAGUCACAUAGGGGCAGUGACGCGGAAGUCAGACAGAAAGCCAGGCAGGCUCUGGAGAGCCUUUUGGAAGGCAAUGCGCGCUUCCGCAAGGUCAAUAUUUGUCUGUGCAAAGCAUGGCAGAUCAUACUUUCAAGCCUGAAGCUACGAGCAGGUU